UGGGGAAUCAUGGUCAAUGGGCGAAAGCCUGAACCUGCGACGCCGCGUGAGUGAUGAAGGUCGUAAGAUCGUAAAACUCUUUUCAGGGAUCUUAAAGCCUGUCUGUCAACAACAGGCAGGUCUGACUCUCCCUGGAAGAAGCCCCAGCCAACUACGUGCCAGCAGCUGCGGUAAUACGUAGGGGGCGAGCGUUAUUCGGAAUUACUGGGUGUAAAGGGUAUGUAGGCGGCCCUUCAAGUCGCGUGUCAAAGUCCAGUGCUCAACGCUGGGUGUGCGCGCGAGACUGACGGGUUUGAGGGCUGGAGAGGUGAGCGGAAUUCCCGGUGUAGUGGUAAAAUACGUAGAGAUCGGGAGGAACACCAGCGGCGCAGGCGGCUCACUAGACAGUUUCUGACGCUAAGAUACGAAAGCGUGGGGAGCAAACA
This 425-nucleotide ribosomal RNA is filed under the name uncultured prokaryote. RNAcentral describes it as "bacterial SSU rRNA". It matches the Rfam family "Bacterial small subunit ribosomal RNA", at positions 355 to 774 of the family's 1533-position model. The record is from RNAcentral.